Molecule: unclassified non-coding RNA, 201 nt
Filed under: uncultured Sebacinales
Lineage: Eukaryota; Fungi; Basidiomycota; Agaricomycetes; Sebacinales
Description: sequence contains ITS1
Source: RNAcentral
GUGAAUCUUCAAAGUCGGCUCAUCGGAUUGUGCUGGUGGAGACACAUGUGCACGUCUGCGAGUCGCAAAUCCACACACCUGUGCACCUAUGACUCUGAGUGCCGCUUUGCAUGGCCCCUUUGACCGGGCCUGGCACUCGAGUACUUUCACACACUCGAAUGUAAUGGAAUGUCUUGUUGUGCAAACUGUACAAAACAAAAA